Molecule: ribosomal RNA, 497 nt
Filed under: uncultured bacterium
Lineage: Bacteria
Description: partial 16S ribosomal RNA
Rfam family: Bacterial small subunit ribosomal RNA
Source: RNAcentral
GAUGAACGCUGGCGGCGUGCCUAAUACAUGCAAGUCGAGCGAACAGACGAGGAGCUUGCUCCUCUGACGUUAGCGGCGGACGGGUGAGUAACACGUGGAUAACCUACCUAUAAGACUGGGAUAACUUCGGGAAACCGGAGCUAAUACCGGAUAAUAUAUUGAACCGCAUGGUUCAAUAGUGAAAGACGGUUUUGCUGUCACUUAUAGAUGGAUCCGCGCCGCAUUAGCUAGUUGGUAAGGUAACGGCUUACCAAGGCAACGAUGCGUAGCCGACCUGAGAGGGUGAACGGCCACACGGGAUCUGAGACACGGUCCAGACUCCUACGGGAGGCAGCAGUAGGGAAUCUUCCGCAAUGGGCGAAAGCCUGACGGAGCAACGCCGCGUGAGUGAUGAAGGUCUUCGGAUCGUAAAACUCUGUUAUUAGGGAAGAACAAAUGUGUAAGUAACUAUGCACGUCUUGACGGUACCUAAUCAGAAAGCCACGGCUAACUACGUG